Y RNA from Callithrix jacchus (white-tufted-ear marmoset), 113 nucleotides. It matches the Rfam family "Y RNA". Rfam says of the family: Y RNAs are components of the Ro ribonucleoprotein particle (Ro RNP), in association with Ro60 and La proteins. The record is from Ensembl. Lineage: Eukaryota; Metazoa; Chordata; Mammalia; Primates; Cebidae.
GGCUGGUCCGAAGGUAGUGUGUUAUCUCAAUUGAUUGUUCACAGUCAGUUACAGAUUGAACUCCUUGUUCUAUUCUUUCCCCCCUUCUCACUAUUGCACUUGACUAGUCCUUU